RNA transcript from Homo sapiens (human), 1272 nucleotides. It is a transcript of the gene named NME1-NME2 readthrough, with no coding region annotated. The transcript has 9 exons. The record is from RefSeq and is marked validated. Lineage: Eukaryota; Metazoa; Chordata; Mammalia; Primates; Hominidae.
GCAGAAGCGUUCCGUGCGUGCAAGUGCUGCGAACCACGUGGGUCCCGGGCGCGUUUCGGGUGCUGGCGGCUGCAGCCGGAGUUCAAACCUAAGCAGCUGGAAGGGCCCUGUGGCUAGGUACCAUAGAGUCUCUACACAGGACUAAGUCAGCCUGGUGUGCAGGGGAGGCAGACACACAAACAGAAAAUUGGACUACAGUGCUAAGAUGCUGUAAGAAGAGGUUAACUAAAGGACAGGAAGAUGGGGCCAAGAGAUGGUGCUACUGUCUACUUUAGGGAUCGUCUUUCAAGGCGAGGGGCCUCCUAUCUCAAGCUGUGAUACAGGAACCAUGGCCAACUGUGAGCGUACCUUCAUUGCGAUCAAACCAGAUGGGGUCCAGCGGGGUCUUGUGGGAGAGAUUAUCAAGCGUUUUGAGCAGAAAGGAUUCCGCCUUGUUGGUCUGAAAUUCAUGCAAGCUUCCGAAGAUCUUCUCAAGGAACACUACGUUGACCUGAAGGACCGUCCAUUCUUUGCCGGCCUGGUGAAAUACAUGCACUCAGGGCCGGUAGUUGCCAUGGUCUGGGAGGGGCUGAAUGUGGUGAAGACGGGCCGAGUCAUGCUCGGGGAGACCAACCCUGCAGACUCCAAGCCUGGGACCAUCCGUGGAGACUUCUGCAUACAAGUUGGCAGGACCAUGGCCAACCUGGAGCGCACCUUCAUCGCCAUCAAGCCGGACGGCGUGCAGCGCGGCCUGGUGGGCGAGAUCAUCAAGCGCUUCGAGCAGAAGGGAUUCCGCCUCGUGGCCAUGAAGUUCCUCCGGGCCUCUGAAGAACACCUGAAGCAGCACUACAUUGACCUGAAAGACCGACCAUUCUUCCCUGGGCUGGUGAAGUACAUGAACUCAGGGCCGGUUGUGGCCAUGGUCUGGGAGGGGCUGAACGUGGUGAAGACAGGCCGAGUGAUGCUUGGGGAGACCAAUCCAGCAGAUUCAAAGCCAGGCACCAUUCGUGGGGACUUCUGCAUUCAGGUUGGCAGGAACAUCAUUCAUGGCAGUGAUUCAGUAAAAAGUGCUGAAAAAGAAAUCAGCCUAUGGUUUAAGCCUGAAGAACUGGUUGACUACAAGUCUUGUGCUCAUGACUGGGUCUAUGAAUAAGAGGUGGACACAACAGCAGUCUCCUUCAGCACGGCGUGGUGUGUCCCUGGACACAGCUCUUCAUUCCAUUGACUUAGAGGCAACAGGAUUGAUCAUUCUUUUAUAGAGCAUAUUUGCCAAUAAAGCUUUUGGAAGCCGGA